UUCAAUAUUUAAUAUAUUACUGCCUUACUGAGUUGCAAUAAGUGACAAAAACAUAUACAUCAUAGAAUUAACAUAAGAAUGAACUGUGAAGAACAAAUGCCUUAUAUUUCAGGUAAAAGGUAAAUAUAUUCCAUAUACUCUGGAAUAAGGACCUACUGAAAGACUGCUGAGGAUUUGAGGAAUCUAUUUUUGUGUGUGUGGACUGUUACUAUUAAUAGUUCUGUGCUGUGUAUACCACCAGCUCCCAAUAAAUGUCGCAUUCAGAGCAUUUUUGCACUAGGAAGAUUUAGGGUGCAAAUGAACUCUGACAGAAGAAUCUGUAGUAUACAAGGUUUUCAGAAGACAACCCACCUGCUCCAUACUUCGAAAUAAUGAGAUUCACAACGAUUAUGAU
Molecule: long non-coding RNA, 394 nt
Filed under: Homo sapiens (human)
Lineage: Eukaryota; Metazoa; Chordata; Mammalia; Primates; Hominidae
Description: non-protein coding lnc-CTDSPL2-1:1
Source: RNAcentral